CUUGCGUGUUCAAGUCAACCAGCUGAGUGGAAAGACUAAGUUAGUUGUAGCGCUGGCCAUUUCUACCCAAUAAACGUAUCCUUGGCGGAGGAACAAAUUGCACACAGCACGCCGUGGGAUUGCCUUUCCAACAUUUGCCUGUACUUCUUCAGCAGGUGCAAAACAUAUACGCAAUCAGCCUGCCUGAUGACAUCACCACAGUGUGCCCCGCCCCAUAUUAUGAGCGCACAAACCAAUCAAGUCAGCCACCAUUCGUCUUAAAUUCGUGCCACUGUAAAAUUCGACAACUAAGAAAUGGUCAAGUUUAUUUGUCUCAUUUUCAGCAGCAGGAAAAAAUCAAAGCCGUGUUCAUUUUUCUUGAGUUAUUCAUCUGCAGCAAUCGAGCUUAAAAAUACACCAAAUUG
Syngnathus acus (greater pipefish) is the source of this 404-nucleotide long non-coding RNA. RefSeq lists it as uncharacterized. The record is from RefSeq and is a predicted model, not a curated record. The transcript is spliced from 2 exons. NCBI's taxonomy places the organism in Eukaryota, Metazoa, Chordata, Actinopteri, Syngnathiformes, Syngnathidae.